Molecule: long non-coding RNA, 2768 nt
Organism: Homo sapiens (human)
Lineage: Eukaryota; Metazoa; Chordata; Mammalia; Primates; Hominidae
Source: Ensembl
UUCUAUUUUUCUCUUUGGAGCAGAGGUUGCAAAACUGUGAUGCCUAACAAAAACGUUGUGUAUAAAAGCUCCAAAACCAAGCAUUAGCCUAAAUUGGCUAUAACUGCAACUUAAAUCAAAAACUAUAUCCAACUAGAUCUUCGUUGUGGCUAUGCAACUUUUUGCUUUGUGGCCUGAAGGUUUUUACUGAGGUAACAACCUCUUAUCUCUUGUCCUUCCCUCAACCACAAAAGCAAAAAUAAACAACAACAAAAAACACCUCUACAGCUUCCUUCUUCAUGGCUGUCUUUGGCAAUGCUUCCAAAUCUUGAAAGCAAAAGAACCUGCUGAAGUAUAUGAGGAGGAUGAAAACACUAAACAUGACAUAUGAAAACCAAUCUAAGCGUAUGAAUUGAGAAAGAAAAUACUAGAAGGAAGGCAGAGCAGCAGUCGGCCCUCAACAGAAAACAAAAAAGAAGGAGGGCUGUAACUGCUCUGGCCCUUCUUCCAUAUUAUCUCCCAAUUAGAAGAGCGUGGAACCGAAAACUUAAACUCUGAAAAGGUAAUAACUUUCAAGGAGGAGCUACGGAAGUGAAUAAAUGAUAAAGAAGAACAGCAGUAGCUUUAGCUGUCAAUGAGUUUCUUUGCUCUGGCAUUGGCAAUAUCAAUACGAUCUCUGUUGGUGUCAGCCUGAAAAACAAGAAAGAUAUCAGCUUUACAAGGUAAGUAACUCUAAUAAAAAUUAAACUUUUUACACUUGGAGUAACUGACACACCAAGAAAAUCCAAGAAACCACGUGAAGUUACAUUACAAAACUCAUGUUGGGCAAGAAGUAACAGAAUAUGAAAUUCAUUUGGAAAACCCCUGGUAUAUAAACAUGACAAAGGUGUAACAUAUAAGACCUUGCCAAUAUUUCAUAAAUUCUAUAACGCAUUUUUUCAUAGUUUAACAUGCCUGAAACUGGGAUGCAUCCUGUAAUCAAUGGCAUUUUUUGAUGCAAUGAAAUAUGAAAGAGUGCUCUUCUCUGUUAAAGAUCUGGACCUUGUGUGAGUCCUCUGAACUGAAUCAUAGAAUCUCAUCUGGAUUCAGACACCCUAAGUCUAACCUGGAGAGACUGAAAUAACCUUUCCAAAGAUCUUUGAAACGAAUCUAUUACCAUCCUCACCAACAUCUGAAUUAAAAUGACAGGGGUCAUGUACUGCUAAACUCAUCUCCUAAGUGAACCAUUCAUUAAGAAAGGUACAGGAAUAUCAGGAGGAGUUGGCAUACCGUUUAAUGUAUCCACCACUGGCUGCUCCCGUUGUUGGUUGCUGAAGCUGACCAUUUGUCACCGGGCCUGGCUGUUUAGAUACUACAUUGCAAGUGUCAACCAGAAAAUGCUAUUAUUAUGGAACAGCAAACUUCAACCUUGAAUCUACCAAUAACUCCCCACAAUCACUCAGAUCACUGGAUCACUGAGCUGAGACCACCAAGUAAUUUAUAAAGCAAAGAGAAGAAAUUUAAGCCAGCUGUAGAAAUUUGCGUUAAGUAACAAGGAGCUGAAUGUUAAUCACCAAAACAAUGGGAAAAAUGUCUCCAGGGCAUAUCAGAGAUCUUCAUGGCAGCCCCUCCCAUCACAAGACCUGAGGCCUAGGAAGAAAAAAUGGUUUCGUGGGCAGCCUCAGAACUUGGGGCCCUGAGUCCCAGCUGCUCCAGCUCCUGGCUAAAAGGGGUCAAGGUACAGCUUGGGCUGUUGCUUCAGAGGGUGCAAGCCCCAAACCUUGGUAGCUUCCACGUGGUAGCUGGGCCUGCAGGUGCACAGAAGUCAAGAAUUGAGGUUUGGGAACCUCUGUCUAGAUUUCAGAGGAUGUACGGAAAUGCCUGGAUGUCCAGGCCAAAGUCUGCUGCAGUGGAAGAGACCUCAUGGAGAACCUCUGCUAGGGCACUGCAGAAAGGAAACGUGGGAUUGGACACCGCCCACCCCCCAGAAUCCCCACUGGGGCACUGCCUAGUGGAGCUGUGAGAAGAGGGCCACCAUUCUCCAGACUCCAGAAUGGCAGGUCUACAAACAGCUUGCACUAUGAACCUGGAAAAGCCUCAGGCACUCAAUGCCAGCCCAGCAGAGCAGCCUCUGGGCCUGAACCCUGCAAAGCCACAGGGUCAGAACUGCUCAAGGCCUUGGGAGCCCACCCUUGGCAUCAGCGUGCCCUAGAUGUGAGACAUGGAGUCUAAGGAGAUUAAAAUAAGUUUUAAGACGUAAUGGCUGUCCCACUGGAUUUUGGACUUGCAUAGGGCCGGUAGCCCCUUUGUUUUGGCCAAUUUCUCCCAUUUGGAAUGGGAGCAUUUACCAAUGCCUAUUCCCCCAUAGCAUCUUUAGAAGUAACUAACUUGCUUUUGAUUUUACAGGCUCCUAGGCAAAAGGGACUUGCCUUGUCUCAGAUGAGACUUUGGACUUGGACUUUUGGGUUAAUACUGGAAUGAGUUAAGAUUUUGGAGGCCUGUUGGGAAGGCAUGAUUGUGUUUUGAACUGUGAGGACAUGAGAUUUGAAAGGGGCCAGGGAAUCUGGGCGUGGUGGCUCAUGCCUGUAAUCCCAGCACCUUGGGAAGAUGAGGUGGGUGGAUCAUGAGGUCAGGCGUUUGAGACCAGCCUGGCCAAUAGAGUGAAACCCCGUCUCUACUAAAAAAUGCAAAAAUUAGCCAGGCGCGGUGGCUCACGCCUGUAAUCCCAGCACUUUGGGAGGCGGAGGCCGGUGGAUAACCUGAGGUCAGGAGUUUGAGACCAGCCUGGCCAACAUGGCAAAACCCCAUCU